CACCGACGAAUACACACACUCACCACACACGCACCGACACAUACACACACAACACGCACACUCCCCCCCCCACAUACACACACAAACACACAUAUACACACACUCAAUCACACAUACUUACACACAUGGAUGUGUCAGCUCGGACGUUUAAGUCGUCUGCCAGGGAUGACCUGUCUUCAACACUAACUAUACGUGUGGACAUAACAAUGUUUCCUUUAGUGGUGUUGGUCGGUUUUAUUAAGUAACUGCCCGGGUUCAUUACCCCCAACAUACUGUAACUCUGCCUAGUUGAGAAUUGAUACUGCAAAUUCUGAAACAAUGGUUUAUCUCUACUGUAAAAGAAUAGUGAUUUGCACAAGGCCAGCAAUUGAAGAGGAAAGGGAGGUAGUCAAUUACUUCGACUCCAAUAUUUGACUGGUCCUUAAUUUCAGUGGUUUUCAAACUGUGGUCCGCGGACUACAGGGGUUCCGCAAGGACAAGACAGGGUGUCCGUGAACAGCAAAUACUUUUUAUGGGCAAUUUGAUUUUAUAUAUGGUUUUUAAUCGAAAUCUUUUAAUUGACAAUAAACCUAUUUGUUAAAUACUGUUAAAUA
Octopus bimaculoides (California two-spot octopus) is the source of this 593-nucleotide long non-coding RNA. RefSeq lists it as uncharacterized. The record is from RefSeq and is a predicted model, not a curated record. Lineage: Eukaryota; Metazoa; Mollusca; Cephalopoda; Octopoda; Octopodidae.